AGCCCAUGAUGGGGACACAAACCUCAAUAAUUCUUUGAAUCAAACCCAUGCAUCUCACAAAGAUUCUCCUUCCUUUUGAGCAAAAUUAGUGAUAUGAUUUCUUAGUU
Molecule: small nucleolar RNA, 107 nt
Organism: Dioscorea cayenensis subsp. rotundata (Guinea yam)
Lineage: Eukaryota; Viridiplantae; Streptophyta; Magnoliopsida; Dioscoreales; Dioscoreaceae
Source: RefSeq, a predicted model, not a curated record